UUUGAAAAACUUCCAUGGCAC
RNAcentral lists this non-coding RNA (21 nucleotides) under Caenorhabditis elegans. The record is from RNAcentral. Lineage: Eukaryota; Metazoa; Nematoda; Chromadorea; Rhabditida; Rhabditidae.